AAUUGCGUCACUACGCAGCACGUGCGCGCGCGCAUGCGCCAUAGCCACUAAUGGACUCUAUUUAAGCCCAUUGCAGACACUAUUGUCUCUGACUGUCAUGGCGUCUGCUGGACUUAUGGAGACUUCUCACAUGCAGGUAGGACCACUGGUUGUUGAUGUUUGGCUUAUUGUUUGUUUUUGGUGCUGUGCCUUUAUGCACACUUCACCAGACUAGCCAUACAUAUUAUUUAUAUAUACUCCUAAAUUCCUUUUUCCAGUGAUCUCUGCCUGCGAUCACCCAGCAAUCCACCCUUCCUGAAACAUAGGAUAAUCUGGGUAGUUUGUCUCCUUGUGGCUGAACUUUUGUUCUCUGGCACAUGCAUACCCUCUCCUAUAUGGAUUCCCAUAUCUGGUAAGUUACUCUCCAUUUUUGGAUUACCAGCUCUAUGGGGUUACUCUUUUUUGCUAUAAAUGUGUGUCUGCAUUUAACUCUUUGAAUGCAACAAAUAAUGAUAUAUGCAUAUUAUAUAUAUAUAUUAUUUUUUUUUUUUUUUUUUUUUUUUUUUUCUUCUUUCCUCUUUCCCUUCCUUCCCUAGGCGUGGACCUUUUUGGUAGGCUAUGAUUGUAUAUCCUCCCCGUGAACACAGAGACAUUGAUCUCCAUAUACAGCAUUUUCCCCUUGUUUUUGGCGUACUUUCACACUGAGACAGGACUCUAUCUACAGAUCUUAUUGACUACAUGUAUUUCUCUGACACAAUGAUCGUCUGUAAUACCCCUUGAAGAAGGAUCACAGAUACCGAAACGGCUGUCGGGUUGGACCAAUUUUUGUCUCAUGUCUGUUUUAUUGCUUUACAAAUAGGAUCUGUAUACCACUUGCAUGUGGUUUUUUAUCCUUGCUAGGACACUGUACGAUGUCCUUACUUAAAUUGUUUAAAUAAAUUUGCUAUAUAUUUUUCUACUCA
Molecule: long non-coding RNA, 941 nt
Organism: Rana temporaria (common frog)
Lineage: Eukaryota; Metazoa; Chordata; Amphibia; Anura; Ranidae
Exons: 2
Source: RefSeq, a predicted model, not a curated record